RNAcentral lists this ribosomal RNA (523 nucleotides) under Roseivirga spongicola. Its description in RNAcentral is "bacterial SSU rRNA". It matches the Rfam family "Bacterial small subunit ribosomal RNA", at positions 381 to 905 of the family's 1533-position model. Lineage: Bacteria; Pseudomonadati; Bacteroidota; Cytophagia; Cytophagales; Roseivirgaceae. The record is from RNAcentral.
GCCUGACCAGCCAUGCCGCGUGCAGGAAGACGGCCUUCUGGGGUUGUAAACUGCUUUUCUACGGGAAGAAAAUGCCCUUGCGAGGGAAAUUGCCGGUACCGUAGGAAUAAGCACCGGCUAACUCCGUGCCAGCAGCCGCGGUAAUACGGAGGGUGCAAGCGUUGUCCGGAUUUAUUGGGUUUAAAGGGUGCGUAGGCGGAUCUUUAAGUCAGUGGUGAAAGCCUGCAGCUUAACUGUAGAACUGCCAUUGAUACUGGAGGUCUUGAGUACACUAGAGGUAGGCGGAAUUUAUGGUGUAGCGGUGAAAUGCAUAGAUACCAUAAAGAACACCUAUAGCGUAGGCAGCUUACUGGAGUGUAACUGACGCUGAGGCACGAAAGCAUGGGGAGCGAACAGGAUUAGAUACCCUGGUAGUCCAUGCCGUAAACGAUGAUUACUCGAUGUUGGCGAUAUACUGUCAGCGUCCAAGCGAAAGCGUUAAGUAAUCCACCUGGGGAGUACGCUCGCAAGAGUGAAACUCAAA